UCGUAGAAGUAGCAAGUGAAAAAUUCCAAAAUUCCAAAUAUUUUCGGCUCAUUUUUGGUGAACAUUUUUUUCUGUUCAAUUCAGUGUUUUGUAUUUCAGUUAUUUUAGUUUUUAUUAGGCUUAAGCAUAAAGUAUCAAGUAUUGUGGAGCGCUAUAGAAUCAAUGCCAUUUUCUAACACACGCAGUAUAUUUAAGAAUACCAUUUGAACACACGUGAAGAAUACAAAAAUCGCUGUAUGCUGCUGCAACUGACUAACGACUUCGUUCUAAAUUCGCAAAAGCCUACAAAUCGAAGAGGAACCUCACAGGAUUCACUUAAUAACACACAGAACUGGGUUGGUGUAACUAGCAAUUAACUAAGUAAACUUAAGACACGCAAAAAAAUAAUGAUGCACACAAGAAGACCAAAGAUGUAAAUUCGCAGUACUAAAAAUGCAGACGAAAAAUUGGCGGAAAAGCAAAGCUACUUGGCAGUGCAAAGCCAUUGAUCAUCGAGGAAUAUGAGGGAGCCAUCAACGGGAGUAAAUCAAACAGCUGCUCCACCAAGUCCUUCCAUUCCAUUCGACGAUGUCUGCUAUUCGUAUUCGGCACUAUUUGUUAAGAGACAAAAAUACACUUGCCAAACAAGCAAAAACUAA
Long non-coding RNA from Drosophila teissieri, 638 nucleotides. RefSeq lists it as uncharacterized. The record is from RefSeq and is a predicted model, not a curated record. NCBI's taxonomy places the organism in Eukaryota, Metazoa, Arthropoda, Insecta, Diptera, Drosophilidae. The transcript is spliced from 3 exons.